Molecule: non-coding RNA, 226 nt
Organism: Meleagris gallopavo (turkey)
Lineage: Eukaryota; Metazoa; Chordata; Aves; Galliformes; Phasianidae
Source: RefSeq, a predicted model, not a curated record
GGGAGAGGCUGCAGGCGGAGGCGCAGCAGCUGCGCCAUGAGGAGAGGAACUGGGAGAGCAAAAUGGAGGAGCUGCGCAAGAAGGAGAAGAACAUGCCCUGGAACGUCGACACGCUGAGCAAAGAUGGCUUCAGCAAGAGCGUUUUCAACGUGAAGGCAGAGGAGAAGGAGGAGACGGAGGAGCAGAAGGAGCAGAAGCACAAAACCUUCGUGGAGCGCCACGAGAA